This is a long non-coding RNA of Megalobrama amblycephala (Wuchang bream), 1102 nucleotides long. RefSeq lists it as uncharacterized. The record is from RefSeq and is a predicted model, not a curated record. NCBI's taxonomy places the organism in Eukaryota, Metazoa, Chordata, Actinopteri, Cypriniformes, Xenocyprididae. The transcript is spliced from 4 exons.
AACUAUAUAAUUACAAUAUACUUAAAAUAUUUAAGUUUGAUUGCAUUACUUAUAAAAUAUAAGUAUAUUCUACUAAAUUGUGGAUGUAAUUUGAAUGUGUUAAUAAAUUUAAGUUAAAUGCACUUAAAUUAUUAAGUUUUUCUCCUGACCACGCCUCUUACACAUUGGUUUACGGCAGGUAAUGACGCCAUUUUGUCGUGGUGUGUGUGAAUUCAAGGAGCUGUUGAUGAGAAGUUGGAACAUUUGUUUUCGCAAGUUCUGCAGACAUUUUUUUCCAAACAUUUGCCUUUUUAUCGUUUCCCCCCCUGAGAGACUGUUUGUGAGCAGUGAAAAUCGUUUGGUAAAGUUUAAACGACGGAAAUGUUUUCUCCGGUUAGCUAGUGUUCUCUCUCGCGUGCGGUGGAUCACCGUGCAUGAACCCCUGAUCGGCGAGUUCAACGCGUGUUAUUUCGUCGUUUGUUUCUUUUUCACACGAGGAGCUGUUGUUGGGCGUGUAAACUUAGUUUGAACCUCUGGCUGUCGGCGAACACCGCGCCCGCGCCCGCGCCCGCACCCGCACUCCCAGCAGAGGAGGGAGGAUGAAGCGCGAAAAUGGUCAAGAAGAGAUGCUUUGGAUUAGAAGUAAAAGUUGUCAACGACGAGCCUGACAUCAGCCUGAUGGUACUUCAAUGGCCAGCUCUUUCUACAGUAAACCAGGUUGCAGCUGACAAGGACUCAUACAGGCAAACUUCAGUGAGAAUCGUCUGUGUUGAUCUAUAAAGUGCUCAGCUAAACCCAUCAUGAGUGAAGAUCGUCUUGGAAGGAUGGAAUACUGCCACUAUUGUGAACUCAGGAGUGUAAACAAACCAUAUAGUUUUGAUGCAGUUUGUUGUGAUUCUGAGAUAGACUAUUUAUGUGCUUAACAAUAAGCUGAUUUGUUAAAAUUAUUUUUUUCAUGUUUUAUAAGGAAAUGUUUUCAGGACAUAAAAUGUUGUUGUAUUUGGAAUUGAAUUAAAAUAAAACAUAAAAUUGAAUUAAUGUACCUUUUAUUUGCUUUUUUUCUUAAUUUUGUAGUAAAAUAGAAGUUGCUAUAAAUUAACUUGCUUAGUACAUUGAACUUAAC